Molecule: long non-coding RNA, 219 nt
Filed under: Lepidothrix coronata (blue-crowned manakin)
Lineage: Eukaryota; Metazoa; Chordata; Aves; Passeriformes; Pipridae
Description: lncRNA (ENSLCOG00000015087.1)
Source: RNAcentral
GCGAUCCAGCGCGGGAGGGCGGCGUGCGGGGCUGGCACAGCACCGUAACACCCCGCACACCCGCGGGGGCCCCUCCCGACCGCGCCAUGAAAGGAGAUGCUGGCGUACUCCCGGUAACAUCAGAGACAUAUUUCUAGGAAGGAUGAAGGUUUUUGAUGGCCUUUACUUGCAAACAUACCUUUUGAGUCAGCUAUGAUUUGGAGGUUUCAUGAUUGUAGA